ACUAGAAACUUAGGUUAACAUAUAAACCAAGAGCCUUCAAAGCCCUAAAUAUGAGCUAUAAACC
Molecule: transfer RNA, 64 nt
Filed under: Aristelliger expectatus
Lineage: Eukaryota; Metazoa; Chordata; Lepidosauria; Squamata; Sphaerodactylidae
Description: partial tRNA-Trp
Source: RNAcentral